This 321-nucleotide ribosomal RNA is filed under the name uncultured eukaryote. RNAcentral's name for it is "partial 18S ribosomal RNA". It matches the Rfam family "Eukaryotic small subunit ribosomal RNA", at positions 1470 to 1796 of the family's 1831-position model. The record is from RNAcentral.
CCCUUAGACGUUCUGGGCCGCACGCGCGCUACACUGACCAGUGCAACAAGCAUCCGUCCUUGGCCGACAGGCUCGGGCAAUCUUUGAACGCUGGUCGUGAUGGGGAUAGACUUUUGCAAUUUUUGGUCUUCAACGAGGAAUUCCUAGUAAACGCAAGUCAUCAGCUUGCAUUGAUUACGUCCCUGCCCUUUGUACACACCGCCCGUCGCACCUACCGAUUGAAUGGCCCGGUGAAAUCUCGGGACGGCGGCUUGGUCGCUUGCGUCCGACUGCUGAAACUUGAUUAAACCAUNUNAUUUAGNGGAAGGUGAANUCGUANCA